RNA transcript from Sus scrofa (pig), 1729 nucleotides. It is a transcript of the gene named MISP family member 3, with no coding region annotated. Lineage: Eukaryota; Metazoa; Chordata; Mammalia; Artiodactyla; Suidae. The record is from RefSeq and is marked validated.
GGGGCGGGUCAGAGAGGCGGCCGGUGCGGGCGACGCCUUGGAACCCGCGGGCGGCAACUGCGGCCACAGGUGCGGAGCAGGGCAGUGUGUCCCAGCUCUAGGCAUCAGAGCUCUAGCGCUGGGAGUUGAGGCUUCCGAGCUGCUCACAACCCUGGACCCCGAGGCCCCCGGGCCGGAGAGCGGAGCCCUGGGGUCGUCCAAAGCACUGGGCCCUGAGCCCCCCGGGUCAAACCGCGAAAUUCCGGGGCCUACUGCUGAGCGGGACACCGAGGUCCCCAGGCCAGGCGGCGAGGUCCCCGUGUCUUCCCAAAACCAGUGCGCAGAGACCCCCAAGCAAGAGCGCGAAGUCUUCCAGCCAUCACCGGGGCAGGACGCAGCUGAGGGUUUUGUGAGUCCUGGGCCAGGCAGCGACGACCCUGAGCCGUCUGAAGUGCGAGGAGUGGGGCUCCUGGAUCAGUGUCCCUCUCAGGGUUGCGAGACAUACUCAGAGUCGGAAGCCCCCCAGCUGCGUUUUCUGCUGCACUCGGAGACCCCACAACAGCCCCGGGAGGAGCCGCUAAUGGAGACGCCCAUCGAGCGCGAAAUCCGCCGCAGCUGCGAACGCGAGGAGAGCCUGCGCCGGAGCCGGGGCCUGAGCCCAGGUCGCGCCGGCCGUGAACUCGUCGAACUGCGCGUGCGGCCGGUGCUCAGCCUGCCGGGCCCCGGCCCCGCGCUCCCGCGUGCCUUGGAGCGCGCUCGGGCGGGCGCGCAGAUGCAGCGAGACAUCGAGCGGGAGGCCCAUCGGCAGGCGGCGCUGGCACGCUCUGCGGUCCCGGAGCAGCGCACCCGGCCGCCGCCGCAGCCUCUGGGCGAGCUCAAGCGCUUCUUCGAGACUGCCGGCUGGUGCGGCUCCACGCCGGCGGCGGAGGGCAGCGCGGGCCAGCAGCGGCUGCCUGAGCCCGGAGGCCGGCCGCGCUCAGCCGUGCAGGGCCGGUGCCCGGUGCUGGCCCGCGCCCCGCCGCCUAUCGCGCCAUCGUUGCUGGAGCAGGAGGUGCGCGAGGCGAAUGAGCGCGAGCGGGAGCUGCAGCGCCAGCGGCUCAGUGUCUACGGCACCGCCGAGUUCAAGGAGCCCGCGCCCAGCCUCACCGGAUGAAAGCCUCUACGAGGAGGAGGGGGGGUGAACGCCUGUGUGUAUUUAAGGGGUGCGGUCGGUCUCCUUCGUCCUGGCCGCCUCCAGCUGGUGAGAGGAGGGGCAACCCUAGCUGAGCGUCCCUUCCCCCGCAGAGAGCAGGGGCGACGGAAAGCUGGCGGUGAUCUGGCCUCCCCGCAGAAAGGCUUCGGAGAACGGUCUGGAGCAGGAGGAGCGGAAGCCUUGAGGUUCGAACAGGCUGUGAUCCCCGGACAAAAGUAACAUGCUCAUCAGAGGACCGAGGCAGGGGCGCCCAGGAGUGCCCUCCCGAUCGUCAGGAAGCCUGGAGAGCUGCCAGAGGUCUGCGCCAGGGAAGAUGAAAUCGAUCAGCCUACCCAUCCUUGAACCUGACUUUGUAAAAUUGACCUGUAUCUUCUAUAAAACUGUUAGGCUCGGUUGGGAAACACCACCGCCAUAAUCCCCGCCAGGAAAACUGUUCAGCCCUUAUCCGUCUAAUUGGAAACGGAACUAGCCUCUCCUUCCUUGACUGUUAGAGGACCGGGGUCACCUCCCCCGCCGCCCCCCUCCCCAAUAAAGCCCUUCUCUCUGGGCAGUGCAGCA